This 553-nucleotide long non-coding RNA is filed under the name Coturnix japonica (Japanese quail). RNAcentral's name for it is "lncRNA (ENSCJPG00005004794.1)". The record is from RNAcentral. Lineage: Eukaryota; Metazoa; Chordata; Aves; Galliformes; Phasianidae.
GUGUCUGUGUGCGGUCAGACUAUGGGUUCCAGGUGGAAUCUUAUGGCGUCCAGGUGUGGGUCAGAUUCUUAUGGGGUGAUGUAUGGGUCAUAUCUAUGGGUCAAAUCUAUGGGUCCGGGUUAUCUAUGGGUCAAGAUCUAUGGGCGUGCAGGUGGAUCUAUUGGGUCAGGGUAUAUGGGUUUGGGUCUAUGAGGGGUUCCAGGUGGAAUCUAUGGGUCAAUCUUAUGGGUCCAGGUGGGGUCUAUGGAGUCAGAUCUAUGGGUUUCCAGUGGGUUCUAUGGUCAAUCUAUGGGUCCGGGUGUAUCUAUGGGUCAGAUCUAUGGGUGCAGGUGGAUCUAUGGGUCAGUAUAUGGGUUGGGUCUAUGGGUCCAGGUGGAUCUAUGGGUCAAUCUAUGGGUCCAGGUGGGUCUAUGGGUCAGAUCUAUGGUCCAGGUGGAUCUAUGGGUCCAGGUGUGGGUCAGAUGUAUGGGGUUGUAUCUAUGGGGUGAUGUAUGGGUCAGAUCUAUGGGUCAGUGUUGUGGACCAUAGAUCUGACCCACAUAUGGACCCAUAG